AUAGAAUGAAAAAUUAGAGUAGCAGUCUGCAGUUAAAUUUCAUAAGUGGUUUGGUUAGAAGCAACAAACUAACAACAUUUCUCCUCAAUAUUCUCCACCUUUCUUACUUUGCUGUACAGCUAAAAAGGUAUAAUUAUCUUUUCCCAUCCCUAAAUUUUUCUUCCUUUUAAAGUUAUUUCUGUGUCACAUUCUUGUGGCUACUGUGUGUGUGUGUGUGUGUGUGUAAAUAAUUAGAGCAACUAUCAAUUGAAAAGUUUUACAUGGAGGAGGUGGUUAUGUCUAGGACUCAAUUAAAAGUUGGAACUUGGAAAUUUGCUACUUUUAAUUCUCAUGAUUUAAAGAUGUUUAUUUUAGCACUUUCCAUGGCCAGAUACAAAGGUAAGAUAUUUUAUGCUGUGUAAACAGGUCCCAAGCACAUAAAAAAUAGUUUCUUGGUUUUGGUUUGGGAGAAUACAAGAAAGAAGAGUCAACAUGAUUUGUUUGAUCACACAGACCCUGUAGACCUCAGAGAUCCUUUGGUUUUCUGCUUUUCCCCUUCUUUUUCUAAAUGAUGUUUAUUGCUGGUUAAUUGGAGUCUGUGGAUAAUUAUCAAACAGUCAAUGAUUUAUUGAUCAUGUAUUAUAUACACAAUAUCAUGGUGGAUGUAAGAGUUAAAGGAGUUUAAAAUUGUAGUUUCUGUCUCUAGUAAAGAAAAUUAGUAUAUUUUAUGCCAGAUACUAAACUAUCUCAUUUAUUCUUCAGAAUAACUCUCUGGGACAAGUGGCAUUUCAUUAUUUUAUGGCCAGGACACUGUUUCUGUGAAUAAGCUAAGUAACAUGAUCACUAAACCAUGGGUAGGGAGUGGUGAGGCUGUGAUUUGAACACAGUCUGUCUGACACAAGUUCCUCUGCUGUCACUACUCUACCAUGUUGGGGGAAGGUGUAUAGAGCAGUUUUGAAUGCAGAGGAAGAAAAGGGCUGAAAAUGAGCUGACAUGAACAAUGUACCUGGGUAGAGAAGCUUAGAUCAUAUUUAGGAAACAAAAGAGCAGUUUGAUUAAAAUAAGUGACCAUUUGUAUUGGAGUAUAAAGGGAGUUUGAGAAAAUAUCAUAGGAAUUUGUGAAUGCCAUAUUGAUGAACGUUAUCUAUAGCAAGAGGGAAAUAAUUUUUAUGUAGGGAAAUAAAGCAAUUUUGAUAUAGAAUUAAUUUAUUGGGGUAUUUUUGUGUGUGGUUGGAUAGGAAGGGGAUUGAGGUAAGGAGACUGGGUUACUGCUAUUUUGGGAUAAAGACAAGAGUCAAAGCAGAGCCAAGAAGAAUUUGUAGGGUGUGUGGAAUGAUUCGAUAAGAGAGAGAACCAGAAGUCCAAUAUAACUCUAAGAUUGCUUGCCUAGAGGAGUGGAGACAAGGUCCUCCAGUGAUUGGUGGCUGUACUUAGGAUGAAAAACAUGCUGAUCUUUCACAGGGGUAUGAGCUGCACUAAGGAAGAACUCUUGCAUUUGGCCUGAGCUGUGUGGGUGUUCAGGUUGCAGGAAGACACCCCCCCCAAAGAGGAGGAACUGGAAAAAUUUUAAAAGGCAAAAUUUCCAGAAAACUUUAUUUUUCUUAGUUCCCUCUUGUCACAAGGGCAUCCAGUUACUCUUGAUUUAGAGGAGUGUUUAACACCUAGGCAUAUUUAAACUAAAGAGAUGUUGGACAUGUUAACUAAACAACCCUCUACCCUCCCUCCCUGCACACUGCCCCUUGUUUACUGUGCUUUGAGAUUUCAUUCUGUCUUCAGUUUAUUGGUGGAGCUUGAUUUUAAUUCAUGAAUGUGAAGAUAAAUGUAAGAUACUGAGCCCUCCUCUAUCUAUCAUGUCUCAGAAUUCUUUAUGUAUAGUGGGAAGACUCAUUAUCCCUCCCUAAACCUGAUGAAUUGGUAGAGGUGCCAAUUCAAUUAUUAAUUUCACAAUUGAUAUUUUUCAGUGAAAUAAUUUUGAAAGUUCGCUUAAAGGAAUAAGAAGUUUUAGCUGGGUCUGGUGACAUGUGUCUAUAGUCCUAGCACUCAGGAUUGCUUGAGCCCAGGAUUUCACAGUUCAAGACCAGUCUGGGCAACAGAGUGAACCCCCAUCUCAAAAGAGAGAGAAAACAAGAGAAAGAAAGAAAGAAAGAAGUCCUGUUUGUGGGGGGGGGAGAAAAUUCUGCAGGUUUUCCAUAUUUGAAACAUUUCUUGAGGGGAUUCAAGUUAAUGUUUGAGAGUAUUUUAUAUUAUUUUGAGGAGAAAAUUAAUGUCAGAAAAUUAAUGUAACAUGGGAAUUGAUGCUGUAGUAAUAAUUUAAUUUCUGACAUAAACAUUUAUAAAGAGGUUUCCGUAUUAGUUUCAUUCACUGGUUAUUUAAAGGGAUUUUGAUAUUUUAGUUCUAACCCAGGUUGCUUCUGUGUGGGAAUCAUAAAGUCAGGUUAUCAACACAUUUUAUAAGUUUUGUAACAAAACAGGGAAAGGAAGAAAGGAAAAUGAAUGCGAUUUAUUAAUGCAGCAAACAUUUUGAGAGUCUGUUCAUUGCCAGGGAGCAUACUAAAAUCUGUGAACAGAGAUGAAUAAGGUAAAGUGCCUAUCUUCAAGGAGCUUCAGGAUAAAUGGAGCAGGAAAACAUUUAAACAAUUAGAUACGUUAUAGAUGCAUUUCUCACAAUCCCUAACUUAGUUAAUAAUUUUAUUUGCAUUAUUUAUCAAUAUUUCUCCUCCCACAAAUAUUUCCCUCUAAGAUAGUGUGAAAAUUGGGAUUGUUGUUAACAGGUGUUCUGGUUUCUCAGAUUGUUCCUAUGUUUCUGUUUGAAAAAUAGAGCUUCAGGGGAAAAAUAAAUUUCUAACUGCUGUUCUCCAGAAAGUCCAGUGUUUAGCUUUUUAAUAAUUCACUGGAUAACCUGUGAUGAAUGCACAAUCUUUUUUUUUUAAAUCUUAAUUGCAUAGAAGUUUUGCCAUAUAUGCUUUUGUUAAGGGUUGUAAAUACAUUGUUAGCCUUGGCAUUUUUCUUGUCAGUUAAUAAACUAAGAAUUUGUUUAAUUAGGUAUGCAUUAGUUUCUUAAAAAUUUCUGUAAUGUCUGGUACAUUGAUGUCUCCUCAGAUCAUUUUCAUACUGUAUAUGACAGUGUCUACAUAGGACCUAGCAUGUGAUAAGCAUGCUCUAGAUUUCAGUUGAGUCUUCAUUAACAUCUUAGCGAGUAGCUGUGUAACACUAAUGCCCAUUGAAGGCCUGGUCCUAAGACUUUCCUGCUUUUUCACUUACCUGAAUAUCAACCUUCUUUAAGUAGCCCUGGGAGAACUUCGAUCCUUCUUAUCCAAAUGUUAAUCUUUUUAUCAUUUUCUCCAGUGUUUUUGAGGACUGUACCAGAAAUCCCUUUUCUAAGUACCACUUGUCUUCCUUAAAGAACACAGUUACUCAUUUUGUACAUACCCCUGUGUUGAACUUUGCUUAAUGGAUUUCCCCAUCAUAUCCUAUUUUUCUUUUUCCUAUUCACCUUUUAAAUUUAUUUUUAAAUAAAAUUUCAAGACUAUCUGGGAUUUUAGACACCACAUGGAUAAACUUUGUGUUUUAUGAAUUAGUUGUUUGUGAAGACUAAAGAGAUGAAAUAACUUACCCAAAGUUAUGAAUGUUACUGGUAGCAUAUAAUGGCCCAUUACACAGAAGAACAAUAGUAACUUUUAUUUUAGUUUAUAUUCUGUGCAAAGUACUAUGCUAUUAACAUGCUGUGUCCAUGCUGCAUAUGAUAAUCUGUAAUCUUGCUAUACUUUGUAUAUCAACCAGAUUACUCUUUGAUAGUUUACACAUCUGUUUUUUUUCCUAGUCUUACACAUCUCCAAAACAGAGAUCACACACUAUUUAUCUAAAUGUUCACAAUACCUAGAAUAGCGAUUGUAAUAAAUAUUGCUCCAUAUUCUGGGUAUGACAAACCAUGUCUUUUACUGAGGUAGAUACUAUCUAGAUUAAGGCACAAUUAUACAGUUAACUAAAUUUAUCUUUAAUGCCUUCCUAUGAAUCCAUCUAUCAUCUUUUCACCUUUUAGCCCAGCCCUAGGCUGCUUCUUGUGUAGGCUCUGGAUCUCUACCACUUCCCUUUCCAGUAUCCACUUGCAAAUGCUCUUUGAAGGUCAGAGUUAAGUAAGCUCCUGAUCACCCACAAGGCUCCUUUCCUCCUAAAGCCACUUCAUUAUUUUUACUCCAUUGGCCAAUAGCUGAGAAUAAUUAAAGUGUACUUUCUGACUCUAAAAAUAAAGGUCAGUGUUUUGUAGACCAUAUUUUCUCUGAGAAAAAAAUCAAUAAAUGACUUAUAAACAAGCCAGCUGCUGUGAAACCACCUACCCAUGAAGUUUAUGACACAGAAAUUAAUUUUUCUAAUCAUAGAAAGCUAAGUUUUGAAUCCGUAGCCUUCAUUAUGGCUUACAGUGUAGAAACAUCAUACAAAGAUUUUUGUCAUCGAGUCAAGACCCCUAAGAAAGAUGCUGCCUUGCCUUGUUAAUUCUUCUUUAAUUUUAUAAGAUGGAUGAGGAAAACCAAAGUCAUUUAUGUUAGUCAAGUACUCUGAUCAAAAUGUCUGCAGCAUAGUUCAGUAAGCUGGUUGUUUAUAGGAUAGGCAUAAAUCAACAUUUGUUGGAUUGAUGAGUUGCUUACUGAUUAGAAAUUCCCUUUUCUUCACUGUAAUUCAUAGUUUGACAUUCAGCAGUCAGGUUUAGGGAGGCCAGGUGGUGGUGCUCAACAGUUCACUGAGGACCCCUCCUUAGCCCUCAUCUGGUGGUUAGGAGUGCUUCUGUCCAUAGUUGAGUACCUAGUAAAUCAUGAAUCUUGUCCAGAAGUUAAUACUGUUUGCUAGAGAACUUAAGCAGAACUGACCUAAGGUAAUGCAUACAUACAUAUGCCUUAGCAUCCUAUUAAUUUACUCUCAAUUGUUCACCUGAUCUUUAUUCAUACGUGUCUUCACAAACAGCAGCCCAUAUCAAGAUUCGUUUCUGUUUGUGUUAAUAUAUUUAUAGAUUCUAGUGCAAAGGAAAGAUUUUCUGAAAUAAAAUAUUGUGGUCAUACAGAAAAGCAAGGAUAGCUUCAAGUCUAAAAAUAAUGGGGAGCUUGUUAUCUCUGUCAUGCAUGUUGUUUCAUCCUAAGGGCUGAAGCAGUUAAAAAACAUUAUAGUGUAGUUUAUUAUUUUUACUUAGCAAAACUCUUAGAUGUUUGAAAACAAUAGCUAUAGCAUCUUAAUAUGGGCUGCUAUUUGUGAAGACAAUACAUAUUCUAUAUAUUUUUUUACAUGUCUCACAAUUGUUAUUUUUGAACAUCAGUUUGGAAGCACAAAGGUCAGAGUUAGGAGGGGUGGAGGAGUAAUUUCAAAAGGAAAUUUUGGACAAGUAACAAAUAUUAUUAAAUGUAAAAAUCGCCUCUAAUUUCUUCAUUCCGUGCCCUGCAUUGAAAGAUGCUUAAUUACUCCUCCCUUUGUGUUCUUACAGCAUAGGUCCACUAGCAAAGCAUUGGGUUGUAUGACAAAUAGUUGUGUAAUUUAUCCCUGUGUUCCCAGCAGAGAGUAACUGGCACAUAAGAUCCUCAGCAAUGUGCGUCAAAGGAAAUGGAAUUAAUUCUCUUACUGUACUUUAGUGUAGAAAAGCCCAACGAGUCUUCACAGUCCUCUGAUAUACUGGGCGUUAUAUAUGUUAUAUAUGAUUGUGGGGUAAAAAUAGAACUUACAUGUCUGGGAAGUUCAAUGUACAUAUCUAUUUCAAUAUUUAAAUAGAAUUAUAAAGAGUAUUGUUUAUUGGGUCUCUGUUCCUAUUGUUUUUUGUUUGCAUGCUUCUGCUGUUUCUUUUGUGACAUGUUUAAAUUUAUAUGUUAAUCUUCUUUUUCUACUUUGGUGUUCCCUUCUGUUUUCAGUCAUUGAACAUACUUUUCAUUCUCUCUCUCUCUCUCUCUCCCUCUCUCUCUCUCUCUUUUUUAUUCUUUCUCCUUCAUCUUGUUUAUAUUGUAUGGAAUUGACAGCAUAUUGUCAGGGCAGAAAUAGUGAAGUAUCCGGAAGAAGAUAAUCAACAUACCAGCUCUUCUCAGAGUAGAAUCUGUUCAGUACAAUAGUCAGGUAUUAAUGGAUAAAUUAUUGGAAUUUGGGGAGGUGGGAGGGGAUGACCGAUGAAUGCUAUCUUGCUCUUUAUUCCUUUUGAAUAGGGAAAUUCAGAUGAUUAUUGUACAUUUUUGUAAAUUAAUAUUGCAUAAGUCCUGUUUUAGAACUUUGAAAAAUUGAUUUUUUGUCAAAAGACUUAAAAAUUAAAUAAGAAAUUGAGAACAAAUUAAAAUAACAUUUCAGUUACUUUCAAACAUGUUUGUCUUCAUGUGCAGUGAAGUGGAGAGUGGAGGCAGCUCUUUUCUUAUUCAUUCCUUACCAUUUUUUCUGACAUAGCUGGGAAUUGAAAGAGUAUUUUCAAAUUUGCCUUGAAUUGGCCUUUUUUGUCUGCUUCUAUGUGCAGACUUAAAGAGUUGAAAUCAGUAAAGGAUUUGUUUUAAUUUAAAUUAUUACUUAGAGAUAAAUAUUAGGGCAUUUUGAUAAAUUCAUUGUUUCAGAUGUUUCUUUACAUGUGGGUUAGUGGAAAGAAGAGAAGAAUUAAAAGUAUCUUUUAGAUUGAAUUAUUUUAAAAACAUGAACAUGAAGUCAUUUUUUAAAUUCCUCAUUAUACCUUAUUUUUAUUCACAAUCCAAUAGUGAGUUAUUUGGCAGUAAGUUAGGGAUUUAGGAGGCAAGUGUUUAAAACUAGAAAAGUUUUAAAAACUUGGUUUCCCAGAACAUUUCUGCCUUCUUCCUCAGUCCUCUUCAGCAUACCUCUCCUUACUGACACACAGACCGCUGUAAACAUUCUAAGAGGAGGUAUGGCUGAGUAUCCUGGUUAUGGAAAUAUUUAAUAGAUGGUAAAAAAUCAUGAAUUAAAGUAUGUGUAAAUGAUUUAUCUUGAUUCUUUUAAAUUAUGAUCAGGGUUUAAUUUUUCAUGUUGACCUGUCACAUUUUUAUGAGUCUGUGAAAACUGCAAAUUAAUGUUAUAAAACCAGAAAAGACUCAAUAACUGAGUUGCCAUUGCCUUUUUUUAAAAAAAGAAACAGACAAACAAGAAAACCAAAAACACAGCUGUUCAUUAGUUCUGACUGAUUCUUUCAGUAUCAACUCCUGCUUCUUUUAUGAUGUUUAUCAUCAGGGGUUCACCAAAGUUCAGAAAAUAAAAAUAUACUUGUAAGGAGCUCUUUCUGAUGUACCGAUAAUAACUCUUUUCUCUUAUGACAGAGGGUGGUGAAGGCAGAUAUUGUAAACUACAGCCAGGAUUCCAUGUCAAGAACUGUUCACCCACCCCGGAGCUCCAUGUGUGCAGUGCAGUGAGCGUGUUUUCCUCCUGGGUUGGAGCGCCGGCCACCCUGGGCCAUCUAGGAGCUUGUUUAUCAGUGACCAUCUCUGUAGUUCAGUUCCCACUCUCCUCCCCAUCGCUUCAUCACUAAGUGCUGCCUCUCAGCCACAGGCAGUGCCUUGACUGGAAGGAGUUCAACUUCGGGACCACACACUUUGAAAUCAAAACGGAAAGCCCACUCUGGAAUUGGACUGGUUCAUUGAAAGGAAUGAUGUUGGUUCCUUAUAUCCUCACUUCUUUUUUUUUUUUCCCCAACGUGAAAUUUUUUAACCAAAUGUGAAAACCGUCCAAGUCUUGAUCAUCAGCCAGAAUUUUGCCACAACACAGUUUCAUUCUCUUAUCUGAACUCACAUGUCAUAGUAUACUUCAGAGUGCAAAUAUUGAAACAAGUCACAUAUUUUACCUGCACUUACUUAAGAAGGCAUUCUUUUGCUAUCUGUUUUAAGUGAAAAUAUAUAAAGCUGUACCUAACUGAAAAUGCUUGAAAUAAGGCUGUAAUAGAAAUAUUUUUUCAUUUUUUAAAAAGGGGCCUAAAUUGUUUAUACUAUAGUUUGUAACUCACAAAGUAGUGAGUAUUUGAUAUUGUAUUUUUAUUACUGUAUCAUGGUCAUUAUGUAUUGUAUUAUGCUCAGCUUAGAUGGCUUUAUGAAUUUUAAUAAGUGUUCAGCUGAUGCUCCACAUGGAAUUUUCCCUACAAACUGUAUUAGAGUACUCCAGAAUGAGUUAUAACAUCCUGUUAGAUCAUUGUGGAUCAGACUGUACCUGAUGUUCAGAUGUUUUUCUCUCACAAAUAAAUUUAUUUAAAUUAAAUUUUUUAAAAAUUUCUUUCAGCCAUCUUUCUUUUUACUAUAGAAAAAUUAUA
RNAcentral lists this long non-coding RNA (8230 nucleotides) under Marmota monax (woodchuck). Lineage: Eukaryota; Metazoa; Chordata; Mammalia; Rodentia; Sciuridae. The record is from RNAcentral.